This 45-nucleotide non-coding RNA is filed under the name Schistosoma mansoni. The record is from RNAcentral. Lineage: Eukaryota; Metazoa; Platyhelminthes; Trematoda; Strigeidida; Schistosomatidae.
GCACUACUGAGGAGUCCCAUAUAGGACAAAACGGUCGUCCAGUGC